This 838-nucleotide ribosomal RNA is filed under the name uncultured bacterium. Its description in RNAcentral is "bacterial SSU rRNA". It matches the Rfam family "Bacterial small subunit ribosomal RNA", at positions 56 to 909 of the family's 1533-position model. The record is from RNAcentral.
UGCAGUCGAACGAACCCAUCCGCUUCGGCGGGGACGGAGAGUGGCAAACGGCUGAGUAACACGUAAGUGACCUACCCUGGAGCGGGGGACAAGCCGGAGAAAUCCGGUCUAAUACCCCGUACGCUCCCUUGGCCACGGCCAUUGGAGGAAAGGCUUCGGCCGCUCCUGGAGGGGCUUGCGGCCUAUCAGAUAGUUGGUGGGGUAGUGGCCUACCAAGUCGAAGACGGGUAUCCGGUGUGAGAGCACGAACGGGCAGAGGGGGACUGAGACACGGCCCCCACUCCUACGGGAGGCAGCAGCAGGGAAUCUUGCGCAAUGGGCGGAAGCCUGACGCAGCGACACCGCGUGAGGGAAGAAUGCUUUCGGGUUGUAAACCUCUUUUGUUAGGGAAGAGAAGAGACUGUACCUGACGAAUAAGCCCCGGCUAACUACGUGCCAGCAGCCGCGGUAAUACGUAGGGGGCGAGCGUUGUCCGGAUUUAUUGGGCGUAAAGGGCGAGUAGGCGGCACGUCAAGUCCCAUGUGAAAUCUCCCGGCUUAACCGGGAGGGGUCAUGGGAAACUGGCGGGCUUGAGGACAGCAGAGGAGAGCGGAAUUCCCGGAGUAGUGGUGAAAUGCGUAGAUACCGGGAGGAACACCAGUGGCGAAAGCGGCUCUCUGGGCUGCCCCUGACGCUGAGGCGCGAAAGCAUGGGGAGCAAACCGGAUUAGAUACCCGGGUAGUCCAUGCCCUAAACGAUGAAUACUAGGCCUGGGGGGUAUCGACCCCCUCUGGGUCGUAGCUAACGCGAUAAGUAUUCCGCCUGGGGAGUACGGCCGCAAGGCUAAAACUCAAAGGAA